RNAcentral lists this ribosomal RNA (2326 nucleotides) under Staphylococcus aureus. RNAcentral describes it as "partial 23S ribosomal RNA". It matches the Rfam family "Bacterial large subunit ribosomal RNA", at positions 595 to 2925 of the family's 2925-position model. The record is from RNAcentral. Lineage: Bacteria; Bacillati; Bacillota; Bacilli; Caryophanales; Staphylococcaceae. RNAcentral also lists the same sequence under 1 other name.
GAUGGCGUGCCUUUUGUAGAAUGAACCGGCGAGUUACGAUUUGAUGCAAGGUUAAGCAGUAAAUGUGGAGCCGUAGCGAAAGCGAGUCUGAAUAGGGCGUUUAGUAUUUGGUCGUAGACCCGAAACCAGGUGAUCUACCCUUGGUCAGGUUGAAGUUCAGGUAACACUGAAUGGAGGACCGAACCGACUUACGUUGAAAAGUGAGCGGAUGAACUGAGGGUAGCGGAGAAAUUCCAAUCGAACCUGGAGAUAGCUGGUUCUCUCCGAAAUAGCUUUAGGGCUAGCCUCAAGUGAUGAUUAUUGGAGGUAGAGCACUGUUUGGACGAGGGGCCCCUCUCGGGUUACCGAAUUCAGACAAACUCCGAAUGCCAAUUAAUUUAACUUGGGAGUCAGAACAUGGGUGAUAAGGUCCGUGUUCGAAAGGGAAACAGCCCAGACCACCAGCUAAGGUCCCAAAAUAUAUGUUAAGUGGAAAAGGAUGUGGCGUUGCCCAGACAACUAGGAUGUUGGCUUAGAAGCAGCCAUCAUUUAAAGAGUGCGUAAUAGCUCACUAGUCGAGUGACACUGCGCCGAAAAUGUACCGGGGCUAAACAUAUUACCGAAGCUGUGGAUUGUCCUUUGGACAAUGGUAGGAGAGCGUUCUAAGGGCGUUGAAGCAUGAUCGUAAGGACAUGUGGAGCGCUUAGAAGUGAGAAUGCCGGUGUGAGUAGCGAAAGACGGGUGAGAAUCCCGUCCACCGAUUGACUAAGGUUUCCAGAGGAAGGCUCGUCCGCUCUGGGUUAGUCGGGUCCUAAGCUGAGGCCGACAGGCGUAGGCGAUGGAUAACAGGUUGAUAUUCCUGUACCACCUAUAAUCGUUUUAAUCGAUGGGGGGACGCAGUAGGAUAGGCGAAGCGUGCGAUUGGAUUGCACGUCUAAGCAGUAAGGCUGAGUAUUAGGCAAAUCCGGUACUCGUUAAGGCUGAGCUGUGAUGGGGAGAAGACAUUGUGUCUUCGAGUCGUUGAUUUCACACUGCCGAGAAAAGCCUCUAGAUAGAAAAUAGGUGCCCGUACCGCAAACCGACACAGGUAGUCAAGAUGAGAAUUCUAAGGUGAGCGAGCGAACUCUCGUUAAGGAACUCGGCAAAAUGACCCCGUAACUUCGGGAGAAGGGGUGCUCUUUAGGGUUAACGCCCAGAAGAGCCGCAGUGAAUAGGCCCAAGCGACUGUUUAUCAAAAACACAGGUCUCUGCUAAACCGUAAGGUGAUGUAUAGGGGCUGACGCCUGCCCGGUGCUGGAAGGUUAAGAGGAGUGGUUAGCUUCUGCGAAGCUACGAAUCGAAGCCCCAGUAAACGGCGGCCGUAACUAUAACGGUCCUAAGGUAGCGAAAUUCCUUGUCGGGUAAGUUCCGACCCGCACGAAAGGCGUAACGAUUUGGGCACUGUCUCAACGAGAGACUCGGUGAAAUCAUAGUACCUGUGAAGAUGCAGGUUACCCGCGACAGGACGGAAAGACCCCGUGGAGCUUUACUGUAGCCUGAUAUUGAAAUUCGGCACAGCUUGUACAGGAUAGGUAGGAGCCUUUGAAACGUGAGCGCUAGCUUACGUGGAGGCGCUGGUGGGAUACUACCCUAGCUGUGUUGGCUUUCUAACCCGCACCACUUAUCGUGGUGGGAGACAGUGUCAGGCGGGCAGUUUGACUGGGGCGGUCGCCUCCUAAAAGGUAACGGAGGCGCUCAAAGGUUCCCUCAGAAUGGUUGGAAAUCAUUCAUAGAGUGUAAAGGCAUAAGGGAGCUUGACUGCGAGACCUACAAGUCGAGCAGGGUCGAAAGACGGACUUAGUGAUCCGGUGGUUCCGCAUGGAAGGGCCAUCGCUCAACGGAUAAAAGCUACCCCGGGGAUAACAGGCUUAUCUCCCCCAAGAGUUCACAUCGACGGGGAGGUUUGGCACCUCGAUGUCGGCUCAUCGCAUCCUGGGGCUGUAGUCGGUCCCAAGGGUUGGGCUGUUCGCCCAUUAAAGCGGUACGCGAGCUGGGUUCAGAACGUCGUGAGACAGUUCGGUCCCUAUCCGUCGUGGGCGUAGGAAAUUUGAGAGGAGCUGUCCUUAGUACGAGAGGACCGGGAUGGACAUACCUCUGGUGUACCAGUUGUCGUGCCAACGGCAUAGCUGGGUAGCUAUGUGUGGACGGGAUAAGUGCUGAAAGCAUCUAAGCAUGAAGCCCCCCUCAAGAUGAGAUUUCCCAACUUCGGUUAUAAGAUCCCUCAAAGAUGAUGAGGUUAAUAGGUUCGAGGUGGAAGCAUGGUGACAUGUGGAGCUGACGAAUACUAAUCGAUCGAAGACUUAAUCAA